UGGCUCUGGCAUCGAUGAAGAACGCAGCGAAAUGCGAUACGUAAUGCGAAUUGCAGAAUUCAGUGAGUCAUCGAAUCUUUGAACGCACAUUGCGCCCGCUAGUAUUCUGGCGGGCAUGCCUGUUCGAGCGUCAUUUCAACCCUCAAGCCCCCGGGCUUGGCGUUGGGGAUCGGCGAGCCUUCGCGCCCGCCGUCCCCUAAAUAUAGUGGCGGUCUCGCUGUAGCUUCCUCUGCGUAGUAGCACACCUCGCACUGGAAAACAGCCUGGCCACGCCGUAAAACACCCAACUUCUGAAAUUUUGACCUCGAAUCAGGUAGGAAUACCCGCUGA
RNAcentral lists this unclassified non-coding RNA (330 nucleotides) under uncultured fungus. RNAcentral's name for it is "partial contains 5.8S ribosomal RNA and internal transcribed spacer 2". The stretch from base 1 to 133 matches the Rfam family "5.8S ribosomal RNA", at positions 22 to 154 of the family's 154-position model. Lineage: Eukaryota; Fungi. The record is from RNAcentral.